Molecule: long non-coding RNA, 616 nt
Organism: Haliotis rufescens (red abalone)
Lineage: Eukaryota; Metazoa; Mollusca; Gastropoda; Lepetellida; Haliotidae
Exons: 3
Source: RefSeq, a predicted model, not a curated record
CACAAACAGCCAUUCACAUACAUAAGUGCAAAAGUCUUGUACAAGUAGUUAAACCCAACUUUACCACACCUCUGGCUCAUAAUUCUCUAUUUGAAAACGUCCUUUUCUGAGGAAGUUUCCAAAAAUGUGGCUCCCUGAUUUCAAGUCGAGAUAGCAGCUCAGUUUACCAUUGGAACAACGCUUCAAACUAAUGAGGACUGUCAUAUUGCCGUUGGUGCAAUAAGUGUCUGGAUGGUUCAUGAGAGGUUCCCUUGCCGUGCCGGCAGGGCAAGCUAUCUCUGGCGCAGGGAGUGAUUGUGACCACCAACACCUGAUCUGAAGUAUGUUAUAGUUUGAGACACAGGGUUCUAAUUGACAUAAGUCUGCUAGUCUAAGACUUGUAGGAUUCUGGAAGAAUAAAUGACACUUUCUUGAGGUCCACCAUGUUUACCAUUAUGCAGAUGCCAACUCUGUAGCGCCUACUUUAUGUGGACUUGUGAAAAUAAAAAUUAAUUUCAAACCAUGGCCACGCUGUCGGUCAUACCGACCUCAUCACUCCACUUCACGAACUGUCAAAUAAUCUCUUCAAAAUGACAAGUAGCCCCAUUUUAUACAUAUAUAAGUCUUUGAAAUGAGA